UAGGGCUAGCAUAAAAUCGAAAAGGGUGGCUUUUGCAUAAUUCUGUACUUACCUGAGUUGUCAAGGCAGCUAAAGAAUAACUCUACUAAGGAAAGUUCAAGAAACUCGCCGGUUUGUAUGUUAUAG
Molecule: unclassified non-coding RNA, 126 nt
Organism: Cavia aperea (Brazilian guinea pig)
Lineage: Eukaryota; Metazoa; Chordata; Mammalia; Rodentia; Caviidae
Source: Ensembl